UACAGAGGUCUCAAGCGUUGUUCGGAUUCAUUGGGCGUAAAGGGUGCGUAGGCGGCGCGGUAAGUCGGGUGUGAAAUCUCGGAGCUUAACUCCGAAACUGCAUUCGAUACUGCCGUGCUUGAGGACUGGAGAGGAGACUGGAAUUUACGGUGUAGCGGUGAAAUGCGUAGAUAUCGGAAGGAACACCAGUGGCGAAAGCGGCUUCCUGGUCCGACACCGACGUUCAGGCACGAAAGCGUGGGGAGCAAACAGG
Molecule: ribosomal RNA, 253 nt
Filed under: uncultured bacterium
Lineage: Bacteria
Description: partial 16S ribosomal RNA
Rfam family: Bacterial small subunit ribosomal RNA
Source: RNAcentral